UGAUGAUGAUGAUGAUGAUGAUGAUGUAGCUGUGGUAGUGUGUGUGAUGGAGGAAGGGAUCAUGCAUUUUCACAAAGAAUUUGGUUGCAUCAUGAUUAUCAUCAUCAUCAUCAU
RNAcentral lists this microRNA precursor (114 nucleotides) under Bigelowiella natans CCMP2755. RNAcentral describes it as "miRNA EPrBNAG00000013445". The record is from RNAcentral. Lineage: Eukaryota; Cercozoa; Chlorarachniophyceae.